This is an RNA transcript of Chionomys nivalis (European snow vole), 1800 nucleotides long. It is a transcript of the gene named matrix remodeling associated 7, with no coding region annotated. The transcript has 5 exons. NCBI's taxonomy places the organism in Eukaryota, Metazoa, Chordata, Mammalia, Rodentia, Cricetidae. The record is from RefSeq and is a predicted model, not a curated record.
GGGCUCUCUCGGGGUCCCGGCGGGCGGGCACUCGGCGGCCGCGGCGCGAUGGAGGCGCCGGCCGAAUUGCUGGCCGCGCUGCCCGCGCUGGCCACAGCGUUGGCACUGCUGCUCGCUUGGCUGCUGCUGCGGCGUGGGGCAGCCCCGGCCUCGGCCCCGGAACGCGCGUCCCCGACCGAGGUCCCUGGGGAUCCGGCACCGCCUGAGCUUCCCGAGCCCAGCGCCUCGGAGCCCGCACCCGCGGGGCCGCGCCAGCCCGAGCGCAUGGCGGAGCCGGGAGAGCCCGUGGCGGAGGAGCCGGCGGACGAGGGGAGGCAGGAUGAAGAGCAGGACUCAGACAGUGAGACGGGGCCGCCCACUGAAGAACCUGAGGAAGAGGAUGGAGCGGCCUUCUCCUUUAAGUACAGCCCUGGGCAGCUGAGGGGAAGCCAGUACAAGAGGAUGAUGACCAAAGAAGAGCUGGAGGAGGAGCAGAGGAUUGAGCUGACCUCUGACCUCACCUCCCUGUAGCGAGUCCUUUAGUCCUGGGCCACAAAUGUCCUUGCAAACCCUUGUGGUAAGGAGAACUGAAGAAUAACGAAGGUGUCCUUAGCCUCCUCCUGAAGGCUUUCUUGCCUUUUUCACAUCUUAAAAGCUUGAUUGAAAAAAAAAGGAGCCCCCCCAGGGAGGAGUUCGUGCAGGCUUGGGGUGGGGGAGAGUUUGUCUGCAAAUCUGCUGACACACUGAUACCCCCACCCCUCUUGGGUUCCCUUGGGCUAGCAAGAUCUUUGGGAACCAUUGUGUCUCUGCCUUGCUCAGAGGUGUUUAUGGGGUGGGGGGACAACUUGCCAAGAAUUGGCUCGGGUCUUGGGCUUUUCUUACCAGCCAUGUUUGCUCCCCACACCCCGCUCACAAACCUGUGCUUCUGUUCUCACCGAAACCAAACCUCCAGAGUUGAGAAGUGAUAGGCAAGCGAGGGGAAGCCCCACCGGUGCUCACUUGCUGUUAGAGAUGGUCACACACACCCUGGGGCAGGGUGGGGGGCUUUCCUCUUUCUCUCUGGCAGAAAUGAUUCAUGCCGGGUACUGGCUUUAACGUGGCCUCCCUUUUUGCCCCCACUCUCCUCCCGGGAGUCUCGGGUCUAACCUUCUUGGUACUAAGGCCUUUUCACUAGUGUUCUUACCAGCUCAGCUUAGUCUCCACUUUGCUUGCAAUAGCCGUCUUAGCUUCGAGUAGACUUCUGGGUUGCGCAUUUUCUAGGCUAUUCCUGGAUGACUUUGAACCUCACUAGAUAAUCAACCAGCGGUCCCAGAUUAGUUUUUCAGAUUUUAUAUUUGACAGUAUUUAUACUAUAUAUCAGACGACUCUGAAGUCUUAGACUUGUUGACGAAAACAUUUUUUUUUCUAAAGCACUGAGUUUUUAGAAGACUUUCCAUUUAUUUAAUAGAAAACUGGAAACAUAUCCAGCAUUGACUCCUAAGCCGUGUGUUCCUGGCAGCCUUCUCCCGUGCCUGAUAACUUGGGUUCGGAGCUUAGGGUUGAGCAGGCAACAAAGCAGCAGACACAGCUCCAUGCCUUUGACACAGAGCCACGUGACCAAAGGUCACACUCGUUCCUAAAUAGCAAUAGUGAAGUCCCUGUCUAGGCGGGAUUUCCUCACACAGAGGAGUGACCUCUGGAUACCGUUAAUUAGGCUCGCGUGGAAACCUGAACACGGCUUGUGGGCCACAGGCACCCCCGACUCCUGGCGGCUGAGCUCGCUGUGUACAGUCCGUGUUCUGGCCAAUAAAACGUUAAGCAGAGGACCUUGGUUACUGUGUG